AUCCCCAGUUGCCAUCAGGUAAAGCUGGGAACUCUGGGGAGACUGCCGGUGAUAAACCGGAGGAAGCGGGGAUGACGUCAAGUCCUCAUGGCCCUUACAUCCCGGGCUACACACGUGCUACAAUGGCAGGUACAGAGGGCUGCGAAGCCGCGAGGUGGAAGCGAAUCCCAGAAAACCUCUCGUAGUCCGGAUUGGAGUCUGCAACUCGACUCCAUGAAGUCGGAAUCGCUAGUAAUCGCGAAUCAGAACGUCGCGGUGAAUACCGGUUCCCGGGCCUU
Molecule: ribosomal RNA, 278 nt
Filed under: uncultured Latescibacterota bacterium
Lineage: Bacteria; Pseudomonadati; Candidatus Latescibacterota
Description: uncultured Latescibacteria bacterium partial 16S ribosomal RNA
Rfam family: Bacterial small subunit ribosomal RNA
Source: RNAcentral